This 497-nucleotide ribosomal RNA is filed under the name uncultured bacterium. RNAcentral describes it as "partial 16S ribosomal RNA". It matches the Rfam family "Bacterial small subunit ribosomal RNA", at positions 28 to 507 of the family's 1533-position model. The record is from RNAcentral.
GACGAACGCUGGCGGCGUGCCUAAUACAUGCAAGUUGAGCGAUGAAGAUUGGUGCUUGCACCAAUUUGAAGAGCAGCGAACGGGUGAGUAACGCGUGGGGAAUCUGCCUUUGAGCGGGGGACAACAUUUGGAAACGAAUGCUAAUACCGCAUAACAACUUUAAACAUAAGUUUUAAGUUUGAAAGAUGCAAUUGCAUCACUCAAAGAUGAUUCCGCGUUGUAUUAGCUAGUUGGUGAGGUAAAGGCUCACCAAGGCGAUGAUACAUAGCCGACCUGAGAGGGUGAUCGGCCACAUUGGGACUGAGACACGGCCCAAACUCCUACGGGAGGCAGCAGUAGGGAAUCUUCGGCAAUGGACGAAAGUCUGACCGAGCAACGCCGCGUGAGUGAAGAAGGUUUUCGGAUCGUAAAACUCUGUUGGUAGAGAAGAACGUUGGUGAGAGUGGAAAGCUCAUCAAGUGACGGUAACUACCCAGAAAGGGACGGCUAACUACGUG